Molecule: non-coding RNA, 84 nt
Organism: Strongylocentrotus purpuratus (purple sea urchin)
Lineage: Eukaryota; Metazoa; Echinodermata; Echinoidea; Camarodonta; Strongylocentrotidae
Source: Rfam
GGUAGCGAGCACAGAGCGGUCUAAAGGCGCUGGUUUUAGGCACCAGUCAUUUCGAUGGCGUGGGUUCGAAUCCCACCGCUGCCA